RNAcentral lists this ribosomal RNA (253 nucleotides) under uncultured bacterium. RNAcentral describes it as "partial 16S ribosomal RNA". It matches the Rfam family "Bacterial small subunit ribosomal RNA", at positions 524 to 776 of the family's 1533-position model. The record is from RNAcentral.
UACGUAGGGGGCGAGCGUUGUCCGGAUUUAUUGGGCGUAAAGAGCGUGUAGGCGGCCAGGUAGGUCUGCUGUGAAAACUCGAGGCUCAACCUCGAGACGUCGGCGGAAACCAUCUGGCUAGAGUCCGGAAGAGGAGAGUGGAAUUCCUGGUGUAGCGGUGAAAUUCGUAGAUAUUCGGAAGAACACCAGUGGCGAAGGCGGCUCACUGGACUGGUAUUGACGCUGAGGUGCGAAAGCGUGGGGAGCAAACAGG